Long non-coding RNA from Cornus florida, 8011 nucleotides. RefSeq lists it as uncharacterized. NCBI's taxonomy places the organism in Eukaryota, Viridiplantae, Streptophyta, Magnoliopsida, Cornales, Cornaceae. The transcript is spliced from 2 exons. The record is from RefSeq and is a predicted model, not a curated record.
UCUUCUUCUUCUUAUUCGUCUUCUUCGUCGUCCUUUUUUUCUUUUUCUUCCUGGCAUGUACCUGGAAUCUAUUUUUUAUAUCCAUAGAGUAAAUUCCACCAACCUCCUAUGAAACUACAAUGAAUUAAGCUAAACCAAAAAUAAACUCACUUCCCUUGUCAAAGUUUGUUCGUUAAGGCAUGAUUUGUUCUUUCUUUUUUUUUAGUGGAGAAUUAGCAAAAGUUAUCAUCACGGGUAAAGGCUAUUAUUCCUUGAGCCCAUCUCUCUCCUCUCCAUUUCUCUGUUCUCUCUUUUCUGUGUCUUAGAACCUCCCCCAUCACUUCCAUCUCUUCUUCCCAUCUCUAUCUCUGCCCUUUUCCAGUUUCAUUUCUCUCUCUACGCUCUGUCCCUCUGCUCUGCUUGUAUCCACCUCACUCUUCUCUACCUUCUUCAUCGUUUAUCUCUUCACCAUAUCACCGUCACCACCACAAUCACCACUUUCUCUUCCUCAAACUCCAAAGCCCCCCAAAUUCGUGAUCACCAUUCAUGCAUCCUAAGAACACAUAUAUGCUAGUUGGUCAAUAACGCUGGAUGGGAACCUGGAAAAAAAUCACCUUCUCUCUCCUAUGGUCUUUGGUCUCUAUUAUUGUAUUACACUACUAAAUUCUGGUAUUUUGACAAAACUGAAUUAAUGAUGGGAAAUGAAAAUUGUUUCAAUGUUUUUAGCAAUUGGAGUAAUUGUUGUGUUAACCACCAUCUUCUCUAAAAGCUUAAAUUGUUAGAGAGGGUGGUGUAACUUCAAUAUUUGAAUCCUUCAAUACGCCCCUUCAUGUGUGGCCUUCUUUUGGUCCAACACCUAUUUUUCAAUUUUUUAAUUAGGGUGUUGGUGAGGUUUGAACUUAUUGAAGAUUUAAUGGAGGAAUCAGGUGAGGAAAAUCCUCUAGUAAUUGAAGUAGUUUCCUACUAUUGAAGAUUUGUUGUUAUUAGAGGAUUCGGUGGAGAAAAAUCCUCCUUGUUUCUUAUUUUCUAUCCCUUUCCAUUCUCAUAAUUUAUUCUCCUACAUAGAGGGGCAUCCACCAUUGUAUUGUGUAUGAGUUGAGGGCGUAUUAAGCCCUAGUGGCUGAACCGCGUAAUAUCUUUGUGUUUUUCUUGUUUAAUUUCUCUUUACAUAUAUUUCAAGCUUUACAACAAAACUUGAUACCUUUGGCUAUGGUACCAUGUUAACAACCAUCUACUCUAAUAGCUUAAGCUGUUAGAGAGGGUGUAACUUUAAUAUUUAAAUCCUUCAACCGUUGCAUUGUAAUUCAAAACAAGAAAUCUAAGAAACCCAACAGGAUGAACCGUAAACGGAAGAGAAAAAGAAAAAGAAAAAGAAAUUAAAGAGAAAAAUGAUGUUUAAAUUUGGAUAUAUGAUUGGAAAUCAAAGAGAAAAUUCAAUUUCUUGCCUUCUAUCUCCCUUUUUUUUUUUUUUUUGGUUUUUGAUAAGUAAGAAUUCAUUAAAGGCGCUCAAAGGGGGAGGGCUCCCAAGAGAAUACACAAGGCGCCCGAGGCUGCCACUAUAAUUUCAAGCUAUCCACAAAACCCAAAAGAAUAAAGUAGACAAAAUAUUGUAUUCAAGAGACCAAAUGGGAGUUUUCUCCAUCAAAGGAUCUCGCAUUCCUCUCGCGCUACAAGCCCCACCAUAAACAAAGGGGAGUGGCCCUCCGUGCAUCUGUGUCUCGGCUCUCCACUAUACACCCUCUCCAAGCCUCAAUCAUGUCCACCGUAGAACCUGAAAACACCCAAAAAAUGCCAAACUCUACUAAGAACAUAGACCACACGUCUCUACCACUAGGCAAUGAAGAAGGAGGUGGUUCAUUGUUUCUUCCGUCUGCUUGUAAAUACAGCACCAGUUCACCACAAUUUGUCGUCUCCUUCUAAUGUUGUCAAGAGUGAGAAUACUUCCGAGGGCAGCUGUCCAAGCAAAAAAAAGGCCGCCUUCAACGGAGCUUUGGACUUCCAAAUUUCCUUCCAAGGAAAGGAAGGACCUGGAAUCUCAGUUAGGCUCUGAUAGAAGGACCUAACCUCAAAAGCUCCUCUCUAGGAACACACCCACACCAUCUCAUCCAUCCCCUUACCCUCCACCACCUAUUUGUAUAGUAAAGAUAGGAAAUCAGUGACCUUGGUAAGCUCCCAAUCAUGAAAAUAUCUGCGAAACUGCACGUCCCAAAUCAACCUCCCAUUAUCUAGCCGAUAACAGUCAAAAACCCGAGCGUUUGUUUGUGGAAAUUCUGAAGUGCUGAGGAAUCCUAUGAGCCAAAACGAAUGAACCAACAAACAGGAUGAUUUUUGAACCGCCAUUUUGCUCAACAUAUAUUUUUUUUUAUAUUAUUAUUAUUAUUAUUAAGGUCAAGUAAACAACUCACACGCCAACUCAAUGUUGUCCCACUUGAUGCUUGAAUCCCUCACCUUCUGUUGGGGAGGAGAGUUUAUAGUGUUAUACCACCUAAGCCAAUGGCCCAAUGGUAACCCCUAUUGCUUUUUCAAUCAUCGGUGCCCUGAAAACACAAACACACACUCCACCCGCCCACCUCCUCUUCCUCCUCCUCCUCGAACAUGGGUGAAUUCGCCCAUGCCUUCUGGUUUCUUCUUAUUACACAAAUUUGGCUAAUCUGCUGUUAGUGCUUGUACCCAAAUUUCUAUCAGUCUCAAGAGUCUAGAUUCUAGAAAUAGAAUUACACUAAUGACAAGUUAGGGUUUGAAGAGAAAAGAAAGAAGAAGAAGAGAAAAAGGAGUAUAAGGAAGGGUUGUAGAAGAUUUUGACAUCUCUACACCCUUGUGUUUAUAUUAGUCAAAAAUAUAAUUUACAAUAAUAACCCCACGUGACAAAAUCCCACUAAUUAUUCACUACAUAAAUAUUCCAACAAGGUCGGGCAGGCCAGUUCCCUAUUAAAUGCCCUAUUGUGAAACUUCCAUCCUUUCUUUAGAUUUUCUUCUAUUUAAUUGCAAGCAACAAUAAUGAAACAUAUACUUCCUCCCCUUUCCCUCUUGGAUGGUAUAUAUUAUUUAGGAAUCGUCCUUAUUUAUGGUGGUUGAUGGUUGGGAUGGUGAAAGACCUUGUGAUGCUUGAUAUAGGUUUUUAGGUGAUGGCUAGGGCAUUCCCUUUAAGUGACAUGGUGCAUCAGCUUUCGGAUGCUUCGAAAAGUGGGCUAAGGGUAUCGCAUAAGCAUUCGGAUGUUGUAAAAAGUAGUCAAGGUUCUCGCAUUUUUCUGGACAUGUGCAAGUAAAGAAGUUAGCCCGAGAUAGUAAGCUUGGGAUAGGGACUUGGAUUAUAGAAACAUUGAUAGGUAAAGAAAUGGACUUGGUAGACACUGGGAAUUUGUUGCUAGUAAAAAACAUGUUUGGUGUUCGGUGAUACAUUAUAUAAAGAUCUUUUCACAUUUAAAAUACUUUUAUGUUAUUUCUUACUUAUCAAAAAAAAAAAAAAAAAAAGUACUUUUAAAUUUGUUUGGUAACUGUUGAGGGAUUUAAAUAUUUAAGUUACACCCUCUCCAACAACUUAAGCUCUUAAAGUAGAUGGUAGUUAACAUGGUAUUAGAGUAGGCAGGUCCUGUGUUUGAACCUCACCAUCGCCUUGAUUUAAAAAUUGAAACACGUGUUGGACCAAAAAGAAAGCCACACGUGAGGGGCCGUGUUGAGGUAUUUAAAUAUUGAAGUUACACCGUCUAAUAGCUUAAGUUUUUAAAGUAGAUGGUAGUUAACAGUAACAAUAUUUUCUAAAGCACUUCUAUUGCUAAUUUUACAAUAAUGUCUGUUGAAGGUAUAAAUAUUAAAGUUUCACCCUCUCUAUCAACUUAAGCUUUUAGAGUAGAUGGGUAGUUAAUAUGGUAUCAGAGCUAAAGGUCUCGGGUUCAAACCUCACCGUUAUCCUAAUUAAAAAUUGAAAAGCACGUGUAGGACCAAAAGAAGGCCACACGUGAGGAGGCGUGUUGAAGGUAUAAAUAUUAUGGGUAGUUAACAAUGUCCUUUAAAAGAUUGUUACUAUAUUUGAUAAUAGCAAAUUUAUAAAAGAGGUUAAAUUAUCUUUAUAAAAAAUAAAAAUGGAUAAAAUUGUCCAAGAAAAAAUAGUUACGUAAAAUAUAGAACCUCUACUCAACACAAUUUUAAAAGUUAGAAAUUUUAGCUUCAUUCAAAAGCUUUAUUAAGCUAUAAUUGGUAAUCAUUAAAAGUGCUUUUAAUGGUUAUCAAACACAUUCAAACACUAUUUUUUAAAUAAAGCGCUUUUAUGCUGUUGAAAAGCAAUCCCAAAUGGUUUCUAAGUGGGCAGGUGCAAAAUUUAGAGAAAUUGAAGGAUUUAUCUUGACUAAACCAAAAAUGAUAGAUAUAAAAAUGGAGUAGGGAUAGUAAUUGGUAAGAAUUUAAAAGAAAAUGUUGUAACCGUUAUUAGAAGAGUUGAUAGGAUAAUAUUAGUAACACUUAUAUUAGGAGUAAAUAUAGUUGAUGCUUAUGCACCCUAAAUAUGAUUAGACGAACACAUUAAAACACAAAUUUGGGAACAUAUGGUUGAAUUAAUUCAAGGGAUACCCAAAGCAAAAAAAUUAUACAUCGAAGGGAACUUUACUGAUCAUGUUGGAAAAGAUUGUGAAGGCUAUGAGAGGUGGACACAGAUUUGGAUGUAGAAAAUGAUGCUGGAGAUGUUAUAUUGGAUUUUGCAGUAACAUAUAAUCUUGUAAUUAGGAAUACCUAUUUUAAAGAGAGAGAUAAACAUUACUAACAACAUAGGCUAUUUGUUUUAGAUGUAUAUAUAGAAGGACAAUUUAAAAGGAGAAACAGAAUUGUAAACCCAAGAACUGGGUGGUGGAAUUUAAGAGAGAAUAAAGUAGAAUUAUUUAAGAACAGGGUGUGAAAAGAAGCAAGGCGGAGUCUAGAAGAUGAAACAAACAUAAUUUAGAAUAAGAUGGCAAAAUAUGUCCUAGGUGAAUCAAACAGGACCUUAUUCAAGGAAACUUGGUGAUGGAAUGAACAAGUCCAAAACAUCAUUUUUUUUUUUAAUUAUAAAAAAAUAAAAAAUAAUUAAAAAAAAGUGCUAUAAAGCUUUGCAAAAAAUUAGAAAUAGGGAAACUUUUGAAAAAUAGAAAAUCUCAAUAAAGAAGUAAAAAAGUAUCAAGUGAAGCAAAAUAUAGAGCAUAUGAUGAUCUCAUUUAUAUUCUAGGAGAAGAAUAUAUAUAAACUUGUUAUACUAAGGGAGUGGAAAACUAGAUAUUUUAGCUAUAUUAAAUGCAUCAAGAAUGCUUAUUUAAGGGUUUUAGUAAGAAAUGAUGAAAUUAAAGAAAGAGGUUUUAAGAAAUUGUUAAAUGAAAAUCAUUUAGGAAGUUCAGGUUUAGAAGAAUAUAGUAACCUUAGAGAUAGCAUAUGUUUUUUUUAGGGUCAAGAAGUGUGAGGUUAAAAUGAAUUAAGGAAAAUGAAAUGAGAAAGUGAUUUAGGGCCCGAUGGUGUUCCUAUUGAUGUUUGGAAGUGUUCAGGGGAGGAUGGCUUGUCUUGGUUAACAAAAUUGUUUAAUAAGAUAAUAACAACUAAGAGAAUGCCUGAUGAGUGGCACAAUAGUAUUUUAAUGCUUAUAUUUAGAAAGAUAUGGGACAGACAAAGUUGUAAUAAUUAUCGUGGAACCGAAUUACUGAGUCAUACAUGAAACUUUGGGGGGGAGUGAUUGAACAAUGGUUAACCCUGAAAACUGAAGUGUUGGAAAAUUAGUUCAUACCGGGUAGGUCAACUAUGGAGGUUAUUUACUUAUUAAGGAAACUAAUGGAAAGAUAUAAACAGAAGAAGAAACAUCUCCAUAUGAUUUUAUUGAUUUAUAAAAAGCCUAUGAUAGGAAUCCUAGAAAUCUAAUAUGGAGAGCUUUAGAAAAGAAAAGAGUCACAAAGGGAUAUGUUGACACAAUAAAGGACACUUGUGAUGAUGUAUGACUAUAGAGAAAACAGAUGUAGGAAAAACAAGUGGAAGUUUAAUUGUUGUAUACUUACAUCAAGGGUCAUCCAUAUAUGAUAUCGUUUGCCUUGUUAUGGAUGAGCUGACAAGACACAUUCAAGAUGAGAUUCCAUGGUGUAUGUUAUUUGCUAACGACAUUGUUUUAAUUGAUGAGACUAGAAAAUGAGUCAAUGUCAAACUGGAGGUUUGGAGGGAACAUAUAAAAUUAGAAAGUUGUAAGAUAAGUAGAAAUAAAACUUAAUAUAUGGAGUGCAACUUUAGUAAAUCUAAAAUACAAAUGAGGAUAUAGUGCAGAUUGAGAAUCAAGAGGUACAAAAAAGGUAACGUUUUCAUUAUUAAGGCUCAAUUAUCCAUAAUGAAGGGGAAACUAAAGAAGAUGUUAAUCAUAGAUUCAAGCCAGGAUAGGUUAAAUUGAGAAGUGCAUCUAGUAUAUCGUAUGAUCAGCGUAUGCUGUUAAGAUUGAAAGAAGUUCUAUAAAACAGCUAUUAGACCAGGCAUACUAUGGGAUAGAAUGUUGGGCACAGAAGCAUAAAGUGAAUAUGAGGAAAUGCAAAUGUUGAAAUGGAUGUGCGGCAAGACGAAAAAGGAUAGAAUUAAAAUGAACACAUUUGUGAGAUGGUUGAACUAGCACCAAUUGAAGAUAAAAUGAGAGAAAAUCAGUUAUGAUGGUUUGGAUAUGUGCAUAGAAAACCUUUAGGCCCGUCAGUUAGGAAGAGUGACAUGAUCCAUAUGAAGUGUAAUGCUAGGGGAAAGGGAAGAAAAGAGUUAACGUGGGAGACUUAGUAAGGAAGGAUAUGGUAACAUGUGGCUCGACUAGAACUAUUGCCUUAGAUGGAGUGGAAUGGAAGAAUCAGAUCCAUGUAGCUGACCCAAGUAGUUGGGAAAGGCUUUGUUGUUUCAUGUUUAUUAUUGUUGUUGGGUUGCAUUAUAGCAGUUUGUGUACCGGCAAUUCGAUAUACUUUGUUGGUUCAAUUUUAUAACAGUUUAAACUUUUAGAGCAAUUGGUAUUCUAACAUGGUAUCAGAGCCUUAAUUCUUGGAGGUCUUGGAUUCAAGUCUCCAUCUCUACGUUUGUCCUACCGUUUGAUACAUUGGACGUUUGCACAUUUGAUAGAAUUUGAACAAGUCUAUUGAAUUUCAAAUGAGUUGAUUUGAUUUUUGAUAUUAUUCGAAUGGUUUAGUUGUAUUCCUGACUAAACCUUUGCUCAUAGUUGUUAAAGGCGCCGAAGGCGCCAUCUCAGCGCCUUUAGUGACUUAAGGCGCAGGGAGUAAAGAAGGCGUGCGCCUUUACCAAACAGGCGCCAGGCUACAGGCGUCCCAAAGGCGCGCCUGCUUGCAAAAUGCAAUUUUUUUUAUUGGUUUAGUUCUGUUUGUUUAUUUUUUUUAUGUAUUGUUAUAUUAUCAUUAUUUAUAUUAUAUUAUUUUAUUAGUUAAUUGAAUAGAAAACCUACAAGUUACAUUGUUACAACAUAAAAAACAAAAAAAGAAAAGAGAACAAAAAGCAAAGGAAAGAAGACAGACUCGACAGAGGCAGCGACGACUUGGACUCUCGGUCUCGGAAGUCAGAUCUGCCGGAUUUGUGUCGGAUCUGCGUCUGCGACUCUGCCGUAAAAAGAUCGUUGUUUGUGUUUUGUAUAUACAAUUUUGUGCAUGUGGGUAUCAGAAAGAUGUUGGACUUUAAGGUGAAGACAAAAUUUGAUCUUUCUCCAUCAUACAUAACCUUCUGCAUGAUUUUGGGCACAAUAAGAUUAAUGCAAGUAGACACUUUGAAUUGGUAAUAAUGACAGCAAAAUGCAGUAACAUUAUAAUUGGACUUUACUUGGUUUUGGCAUCUUUAUAAUUGGACUUUACUUGGUAAUAAUGACAGCAAAAUGCAGUAACAUUAUGAUUUUGGGCACAAUAAGAUUAAUGCAGGUAGACACUUUGAAUUGGACUUUACUUGGUUUUGGCAUCUUUAUGUUGAAUAUUUAACUUAAGUAAUUCAUUUAGUUGACUUUUACAUCUUUAUAUAUACUAUUGCAUCUUUAAUACUUUAUUGGGUGGGUUUUGUUUUUUUUUUUUUUCAA